This 446-nucleotide ribosomal RNA is filed under the name uncultured bacterium. RNAcentral describes it as "partial 16S ribosomal RNA". It matches the Rfam family "Bacterial small subunit ribosomal RNA", at positions 338 to 795 of the family's 1533-position model. The record is from RNAcentral.
CCUACGGGUGGCUGCAGUAGGGAAUUUUCGGCAAUGGGGGGAACCCUGACCGAGCAACGCCGCGUGAACGAAGAAGUUAUUCGUAAUGUAAAGUUCUUUUAACAGGGAAGAAAGAGAAAUUUGACGGUACCCGAAGAAAAAGCAUCGGCUAACUCCGUGCCAGCAGCCGCGGUAAUACGGAGGAUGCGAGCGUUAUCCGGAUUUAUUGGGUUUAAAGGGUGCGCAGGCGGAUUUUUAAGUCAGCGGUCAAAUCGUGGGGCUCAACCCCAUCCAGCCGUUGAAACUGGGGAUCUAGAGUGUGCGAGAGGUAUGCGGAAUGCGUGGUGUAGCGGUGAAAUGCAUAGAUAUCACGCAGAACCCCGAUUGCGAAGGCAGCAUACCGGUGCACAACUGACGCUCAGGCACGAAAGCGUGGGUAUCGAACAGGAUUAGAUACCCUGGUAGUC